UACGUAGGGGGCAAGCGUUAUCCGGAUUUACUGGGUGUAAAGGGAGCGUAGACGGCGGUGCAAGCCAGAUGUGAAAGCCCGGGGCCCAACCCCGGGACUGCUCUGGGAACUGUGCGGCUGGAGUGCGGGAGGGGCAGGCGGAAUUCCUGGUGUAGCGGUGAAAUGCGUAGAUAUCAGGAGGAACACCGGCGGCGAAGGCGGCCUGCUGGACCGCGACUGACGUUGGGGCACGAAAGUGUGGGGAGCAAACAGG
RNAcentral lists this ribosomal RNA (253 nucleotides) under uncultured bacterium. RNAcentral's name for it is "partial 16S ribosomal RNA". It matches the Rfam family "Bacterial small subunit ribosomal RNA", at positions 524 to 776 of the family's 1533-position model. The record is from RNAcentral.